UAUCACGUAAUAUUUUCUAAGUGUAGCUAAGCUGUAAAUGGAGCACUACUAAAGCCAUAAGCGAAUUAAAAAAAAAAACGUCAAACAAGCACAUUGCAACUUGUCUACAUCGAAGGAGUCCGAAUUAUUGCUUUGGCUGAUGGCGAACAUUAAAAGUGUCACAUUCCGUGGAUGGAAACAGAAACAAUCCUGUGUGAGAAACAUUCAUGAUAGAAAGUGUUGUUUUCAUUGUGUAAAUAAAGGCGAAUGAGAAGCAUUCUAAUGCUAUAAAGACACCACUUCAAACAUAUACAUUCAAAAUAUUGGCAAUGAGGUGAUGGACUCAUACAGAAAUUUGACAGCUUGCAGUGUCGUCUUGUAUGUACAUGUCAUUUAUUUUUACUACCACAAAAUGUCGGCAACUCUUUUUGUCUCAGUGAAACUCCUCCAGUCACUUCAAAUUACCGGAGUUGCUUGGUAGCAGGAUGCCACGAGAGGGGAGCAGAGCACUAUUCUUGUUGAAAUUACAUGCUUCAAUUUACUUCAUCAUAGAGUACUUCCUUGACACUAAGCUGCCACAAGAUGGCGGCAAAUCACUACCGUUGGCUAAAUUAAAUGCUUCGAUUCACUGGACACCAAAGCAAUACAUGUAAUUUUAGUGCGUUGGCUUAUGCACAAAAAUAGCGUAAACGUUGUUUUUUUCAGCAAAUGACAGAUGAACGAAAAUGCCGGAUUGUGAAUAUGCAGUUUAGGACAAGUCUCAUGAAAACCGAGUCAAAGUCAAGAUAUUUCAAGAGUUUUAGCCAAUCUGAGUCGAUUUAGGUCAUGUGACUCGAAUGCACUACCUCUGGUAAGGAAUGCCAAACAAUCGUUAAAGUACAAGUGACACGACGAUGGUGCGACAAUCACAAGGGUGAUAUCUGACGCUGGUGGUGUGUGUGUGUGUGUAGAGAGAGAGAGAGAGAGAGAGAGAGAGAGAGAGUCUCAAACACGUUAAGAGGGCAACACAUUCAAGUUAGUAACUCUUGAUAAUGCAUAACUGUGAACUAAAAGUCAUUCCAAGUCAUGAAGGAUCAUCCACAUCAGAAAGCUGACUGAGAAAAUACCAAGAUGUGCAAAACUGUAAUCUGGACAAUAGGGGCCGUAUUAUGAUAAAACAUUCAGUUUUCAUUUUUUUAAACAUCCCAUCAAUACAGUAUUUCUUCAUAAUGUCGAUAAUU
Hippocampus comes (tiger tail seahorse) is the source of this 1199-nucleotide long non-coding RNA. RefSeq lists it as uncharacterized. The record is from RefSeq and is a predicted model, not a curated record. NCBI's taxonomy places the organism in Eukaryota, Metazoa, Chordata, Actinopteri, Syngnathiformes, Syngnathidae. The transcript has 2 exons.